This is a long non-coding RNA of Gossypium raimondii (Peruvian cotton), 840 nucleotides long. RefSeq lists it as uncharacterized. Lineage: Eukaryota; Viridiplantae; Streptophyta; Magnoliopsida; Malvales; Malvaceae. The transcript is spliced from 2 exons. The record is from RefSeq and is a predicted model, not a curated record.
UAUAUUGUCUGAUGGUUGAAAGUUUUAUCCAAGUUGAAAUUUUUGUGACAUUAGCAGCAUGUUUGGUUGGGUGUAUCGGUGGGCCCCACUUAUUACGCCUCUAAUACGUUGUUUGGUUCAAUGUAUUGCUAUUACAAGGCUAAACCAUUACUGACAUAAUCGGUGAAAUCCACCGAUUUCUAAUCCCUCCCUUUUGCUCAGUUUAGACGCUGCUUUAGUUUACCCUCCCUAUUUUACCCUCCCAGGCUUCACCUUUUAUUUUCUUUUUUCUUUACAACCGAUUUGCUCCUUCUCAACCUUUUCUUUUCUUUUUGUAUCAUUAUAGCUCCAAAUUUUUGUUGUUUGAUCGAAUCCAAAAUAUUAAUCUCAGCUUCGCACAAAAACUGUGCAAAAGCUAAUGGGUUCAACACCAUUGGAUCUUGCCAAGUUUAACAUGGUAAAGAGUGGAGAAAUGAGCCGUAAUGCUCCUUGUUCAUGUGGUUCCAAGAAGAGAUACAAAAGGUAAUUUGGCACACUAUUUCCCAGAGAUCUGUGUUGCUGUGAGUAGCUCAUAACCUGGACGCAGUGCUUAAGAGAUUUUAUGUCCUCAACCACGGAAUGUUUUUCCAGUGCCAGUGUUGUUCCCUUCAAGUAGCACAAUUUGUUUAUCUUCUUUCAUAAGAAGUUUCGCUUUGUGAGCUAGUUUCAUUUUGAUACUUAUAUGUUGUUGAGGUCUACUUUAGUAUCUAACUUUACAAGUAGGUAUAUUUUGACUAUGAAUUUAUAUUCCGUCCAAAUUUAAUGAUGUGAGACAAUCUUAAAGUGUUAUGUCAAUAAAAUUUUAUAUAUUUCAAGUUCAAA